UUUUUUAAAAGGUCAAUUUUUAAAAGAUAAAUUCCUACUGAACAUACUGAUAUGCAACAUGACUUUGUUUGCUACAUGUCAAAAUGUCGCAAACCUUAGGCUUAAAAUAAAAAUUGAUUUGUUUGAUGUUCUCCGACCGACCCGUGAAAUUUGCCCUGACCCGAUCAUUUUUUCCGCACUUGGAAAUUUUAAUUUUUUUUAUUUGUUCCCUUGAGAAUAGACAUUCUUCGAAUUAGUAUUGAACUUGAUGCCAUUUUUUUUUUUUUAUUUGGACUAGUUGUUUUACAGAAUUCUUGAUAUCAAAAUGUCCUUAGGGCGUCUUUCGGUUCUACUUUCAUUUUGAUAAUGACUAUUUGUUAAUCCGGGAACUUUUCAAACAUUAUUCUAUGUGAAUGAUCAAAUAUACCGCAUCUCAGCUCCAAAUUACCACAUUAUCUAACAACAAGAUAGAACAAGGAGCUACGAACUCCCCCGUCGAGGCCUGAUUGUAUUUAUGUACAAAAGUUUGAGAGCCAUGCAUGUUAUUUAGAUAAAAAAAAUCACGUGGGAUAGCUCACCAAAGUUAUGGCGGACCAUGAGUCGGCUCUUAAGUUGAUGGUCUAUAUUUCUGAAAAGGCACGCAUAUUAUUUUGAUAUAGGAUUAUCUAAAUGUUAUGACAAUGAGGAACCGGCUCCGGUUAUCUUUUCAUUAGGGGGCGCCACAGACAAACUCGGCCCUGAAUCGGAAUACCCUCGCGCUUUAUCUGUAGUUACCGAUCGAAGAAAAACGUAAUCAAUCUGCUGUCAAACACAUCCUUUUGAAACAUACUCGGAACUUGCUGUUGUGUGCCGUAUUGUUGUAAUAGGGGUGGUCAUCAUGUAUUUCCAUCAGACUCGUUAAGAAGAAAAGCCUGGAUUCACGCAAUUAAACGUGGUGAAACUCGUUUUCAAAGCUGUACUCCGUCAAAUUUUCCUGUUGUUUGCAGAGCACAUUUUAUAUCGGACGACUAUUUGACUGAAACUGAACAUGGAAUGACUCCUGUGCUACUGUGAUAGAGGACAGAAAGAUAUCCAGCAAACGUGUACACAUUGAAAGAAUUAUUGGACUAGCCAAAACUUUCAAAAUACUGACAAAACCUAUGAAUAGCUCUGAAACAAAGAUUUCCUGUAAAAUUAUUUAUGUCUGUUUCAUGUUGUGCAAUUUUAAGAAUUGCAUAGUGCCGUCUUAUGCAUAAUUCACCAUUAAAAAUUGAUGUGAUUAAAGAAUAAACCUUUAUUUAAUUUU
Molecule: long non-coding RNA, 1264 nt
Organism: Ostrea edulis (European flat oyster)
Lineage: Eukaryota; Metazoa; Mollusca; Bivalvia; Ostreida; Ostreidae
Exons: 2
Source: RefSeq, a predicted model, not a curated record